CCCGACGACGACGGGUAGCCGGCCUGAGAGGGCGACCGGCCACACUGGGACUGAGACACGGCCCAGACUCCUACGGGAGGCAGCAGUGGGGAAUAUUGCACAAUGGGGGAAACCCUGAUGCAGCGACGCAGCGUGCGGGAUGACGGCCUUCGGGUUGUAAACCGCUUUCAGCAGGGAAGAAGCCUUUCGGGGUGACGGUACCUGCAGAAGAAGUACCGGCUAACUACGUGCCAGCAGCCGCGGUAAUACAAA
Molecule: ribosomal RNA, 252 nt
Filed under: uncultured bacterium
Lineage: Bacteria
Description: partial 16S ribosomal RNA
Rfam family: Bacterial small subunit ribosomal RNA
Source: RNAcentral